This 274-nucleotide ribosomal RNA is filed under the name uncultured bacterium. RNAcentral describes it as "partial 16S ribosomal RNA". It matches the Rfam family "Bacterial small subunit ribosomal RNA", at positions 523 to 796 of the family's 1533-position model. The record is from RNAcentral.
AUACGGAGGGUGCAAGCGUUAUUCGGAAUCACUGGGCGUAAAGGGUGCGUAGGGGGUUUGAUAAGUCUGAUGUGAAAUCCUAUGGCUCAACCAUGGAACUGCAUUGGAAACUGUCAGACUAGAAUACUGAAGGGGCAGAUGGAAUUAGUGGUGUAGGGGUAAAAUCCGUAGAUAUCACUAGGAAUACCGAAAGCGAAAGCGAUCUGUUGGGAAGUUAUUGACGCUGAGGCACGAAAGCGUGGGGAGCAAACGGGAUUAGAAACCCUAGUAGUCC